This 402-nucleotide unclassified non-coding RNA is filed under the name soil metagenome. RNAcentral's name for it is "partial contains 5.8S ribosomal RNA, internal transcribed spacer 2, and large subunit ribosomal RNA". The stretch from base 1 to 121 matches the Rfam family "5.8S ribosomal RNA", at positions 35 to 154 of the family's 154-position model. The record is from RNAcentral.
GAUGAAGAACGCAGCGAAAUGCGAUAAGUAAUGUGAAUUGCAGAAUUCAGUGAAUCAUCGAAUCUUUGAACGCACCUUGCGCCCUUUGGCUAUUCCGAAGGGCAUGCCUGUUUGAGUAUCAUGAACACCUCAACUCUCAUGGUUUGCCAUGAUGAGCUUGGACUUUGGGGGUCUUGCCGGCCUAUGGGUCGGCUCCUCUCAAAUUAAUCAGCUUGCCAGUGUUUGGUGGCAUCACAGGUGUGAUAACUAUCUACGCUUGUGGUUUUCCAUCAGGUAACCUUCAGUGAUGGAGGUUCGCUGGGGCUCAUAAAUGUCUCUCCUCAGUGAGGACAGCUUUUUUGAACGUUUGAUCUCAAAUCAGGUAGGACUACCCGCUGAACUUAAGCAUAUCAUAAGCGAGGA